CAGUGGGGAAUCUUGCACAAUGGAGGAAACUCUGAUGCAGCGAUGCCGCGUGAGUGAAGAAGGCCUUUGGGUUGUAAAGCUCUUUUGUAGGGGAAGAUAAUGACUGUACCCUAAGAAUAAGGUCCGGCUAACUUCGUGCCAGCAGCCGCGGUAAUACGAAGGGACCUAGCGUAGUUCGGAAUUACUGGGCGUAAAGCGCGCGUAGGCCGUUGAGUUAGUUAAUUGUGAAAUCCCAAAGCUUAACUUUGGAACUGCAAUUAAAACUGCUCGACUAGAGUUUGAUAGAGGAAAGCGGAAUACAUAGUGUAGAGGUGAAAUUCGUAGAUAUUAUGUAGAACACCAGUUGCGAAGGCGGCUUUCUGGAUCAACACUGACGCUGAGGCGCGAAAGUAUGGGUAGCAAAGAGGAUUAGAUACCCCGGUAGUCCGGU
This 430-nucleotide ribosomal RNA is filed under the name alpha proteobacterium SCGC AAA280-P20. Its description in RNAcentral is "bacterial SSU rRNA". It matches the Rfam family "Bacterial small subunit ribosomal RNA", at positions 352 to 799 of the family's 1533-position model. The record is from RNAcentral. Lineage: Bacteria; Pseudomonadati; Pseudomonadota; Alphaproteobacteria.